GAUGAACGCUGGCGGCGUGCCUAAUACAUGCAAGUCGAGCGAACAGAUGAGGAGCUUGCUCCUCUGACGUUAGCGGCGGACGGGUGAGUAACACGUGGAUAACCUACCUAUAAGACUGGGAUAACUUCGGGAAACCGGAGCUAAUACCGAAUAAUAUAUUGAACCGCAUGGUUCAAUAGUGAAAGACGGUUUUGCUGUCACUUAUAGAUGGAUCCGCGCCGCAUUAGCUAGUUGGUAAGGUAACGGCUUACCAAGGCAACGAUGCGUAGCCAACCUGAGAGGGUGAUCGGCCACACUGGAACUGAGACACGGUCCAGACUCCUACGGGAGGCAGCAGUAGGGAAUCUUCCGCAAUGGGCGAAAGCCUGACGGAGCAACGCCGCGUGAGUGAUGAAGGUCUUCGGAUCGUAAAACUCUGUUAUUAGGGAAGAACAAAUGUGUAAGUAACUAUGCAUGUCUUGACGGUACCUAAUCAGAAAGCCACGGCUAACUACGUG
Molecule: ribosomal RNA, 497 nt
Filed under: uncultured bacterium
Lineage: Bacteria
Description: partial 16S ribosomal RNA
Rfam family: Bacterial small subunit ribosomal RNA
Source: RNAcentral